Molecule: long non-coding RNA, 1310 nt
Filed under: Equus caballus (horse)
Lineage: Eukaryota; Metazoa; Chordata; Mammalia; Perissodactyla; Equidae
Description: lncRNA (ENSECAG00000049344.1)
Source: RNAcentral
CGUAGUUUCUUCCCAGACCUGAUCUUGCUGAAAUAGAAAUUCCACUCUCCGUGUCCUACAUUGCCACCGAGGUGCAAGGCACAAAGUCCUGCCUUGUUUCCUCAAGGGGAGACAGGCCAAAAAGCGUCUUGCUUCCAGCUCUUUGUGAAGCUAAGAAACAACUCGCUCUCCUCAAUGCUCUUAGAGCCUACCGGGAACAUCUCUUACAAAUGACUUUGAAACGCAGUUUCUUCUCAGCCCUGAUUUCGCUGAAGUAGAACUUCUGCUCUGCCGUGUAAUACAUUUGCCUAGAGGUGGAAGUCACAAUGGCCUGCCUGACUUCCUUAAGAGGAGACAGGCCACAGACCGCCUCGCCUCCAGCUCUUUGGCAAGGUGAGAAAGGACUCGCUUUCCACAGCGCUCUUACAGCCUACCAGGAAACUCUCAUACAAAGGCCUGAAAUGCAGUUUGUUUGCAGCCAUGAUGUCAGCGCCUUGGAACUUCUGCUCUAAGCCAUGUCCCACAUUGCUCUAGAGGUGUAAGACACAAAGCUCUGAGUCAAUGUCGCCACAGGAGACAAGCCAAAAACGGUCUUGCUUCCAGCUCGUGGGAAGCUAAGCAACAACUCACUCUCCACAGUGCUCUUACAGCCUACCGAGAAAAUCUCUCACAAGGGGCUGUGAAAAGCAGUUUCUUUCCAGCCCUGAUCUCGCUGAAUUAGAACUUCUCCUCUGCCAUGUUCUACCUUGCUUUAGAUGUGGAACUGACAAAGCUAUGAGUCAUUGCCUCCAAAGGAGAAAAGCCACAAUGGGUCUUGCUUCCAGGUCUUGGAAGCUAAGAAACAAGUGCUUCUCCAUAGUGCUCUUACAGCCUACUGGGAACAUCUCUCACAAAGGUCUCUUAAACGCAGUUUCUUCCCAGCCCUGAUCUCGCUGAAGUAGAACUUCUGCUCUGCCAUGCACUACAUUGCCAUAGAAGUGCAAGGGACAAUUUCCUGCCUUGUUUCCUCAAGGGUGGCAGGCCACAAAGCGUCUUGCUUCCAGCUCUUUGGGAAGCUAUGAAACAACUCACUAUCCUCAGUGCUCUUACCGCCACCGGGAACAUCUCUCACAAAGAUACGUGAAAUGCAGUUUCAUCCCAUCCCUAAUCUCGCUGAAGAAGAAGUUCUGCUCUGCCAUGACCUACAUUGCUAUAGAGGUGGAAGUCACAAAGGGCUGAGUCAUUGCCUCCAAAGGAGACAAGCCACAAAUGGUCUUGCUUCAAGCUCUGGGAAGCUAAGAAACAACUGGCUCUCCAUAGUGCUCUUAUAUCUACCAAGAACAUCUCUCACA